GAUGAACGCUGGCGGCGUGCCUAACACAUGCAAGUCGAACGGAGUCGUUUUGGAAAUCUCUUCGGAGAUGGAAUUCUCGACUUAGUGGCGGACGGGUGAGUAACGCGUGAGCAAUCUGCCUUUAAGAGGGGGAUAACAGUCGGAAACGGCUGCUAAUACCGCAUAAAGCAUUAAAUUCGCAUGUUUUUGAUGCCAAAGGAGCAAUCCGCUUUUAGAUGAGCUCGCGUCUGAUUAGCUAGUUGGCGGGGUAACGGCCCACCAAGGCGACGAUCAGUAGCCGGACUGAGAGGUUGAACGGCCACAUUGGGACUGAGACACGGCCCAGACUCCUACGGGAGGCAGCAGUGGGGAAUAUUGCGCAAUGGGGGAAACACUGACGCAGCAACGCCGCGUGAUGGAAGAAGGCCUUCGGGUUGUAAAGAUCUUUAAUCAGGGACGAAACAAAUGACGGUACCUGAAGAAUAAGCGCCGGCUAACUACGUG
RNAcentral lists this ribosomal RNA (483 nucleotides) under uncultured bacterium. RNAcentral's name for it is "partial 16S ribosomal RNA". It matches the Rfam family "Bacterial small subunit ribosomal RNA", at positions 28 to 507 of the family's 1533-position model. The record is from RNAcentral.